Long non-coding RNA from Medicago truncatula (barrel medic), 932 nucleotides. RefSeq lists it as uncharacterized. The record is from RefSeq and is a predicted model, not a curated record. Lineage: Eukaryota; Viridiplantae; Streptophyta; Magnoliopsida; Fabales; Fabaceae. The transcript is spliced from 3 exons.
UUUUGAUACUCCCGCUUCUGCAAUUUCAUUCUCCCUCCCAUAGUUUCAAAACCCUAAAAUCCAAUUUUAUUCAUCAAUUUCAUUUUCCCCCAAUCUGACACCUAAAUUUCCACCACUCUCACCCACAAUCCACUUUCCCCCAAAUUGAAAUCCACAAUCUCACUCUCCCCUACCAAAGCAUCUCGUUCCUCUCCCCCAUUCAAACGUGAAUCUCAAUUGAAGCUUUAUGUUCCUAACGCUCAAUCUCAUAUCAAAGCUUUCAGUUCCAACACAAGCCAUUUGCUCGGUUCAGUUCCAAGUUAGUCUGCACCAUCUUCCUUCAUUAUGUGUUGCUACAACUUUUGCAAAGAAAGCAAUUAGCAAAGGUUCAAAAGGGGACAGAAAAAUUAAGCUCAAGCACAACCUGAUACAUGACAAUUGAAAUAAUGGAGAUAUGUGAAUGCUGGUAUUAUUAUGCUGCAUACAUAGUUCAUAAAUAUUUCAAGGGGCUAUCAGGGGUUGUUGAGUUUGUACCUUAAAAUGAAGAAAAGAAGAAUUUGGUGCCCUUUAAAGCUGUUGUGAAAGGUGUUUUGCUUCAUCAGCUUGUUCAGGCAAUUGCUACACUCAUCUUGGUGACAGCUAGAAAUGGCUUGAAGUAUUGUAUGAUCUCCAUCUCUACAUUAGGGAAUGAGUUUGACUGGUUUUUGAUUUAGUGUAACUCCCCUUCAACAUGUUUGCUUUUUGAUACAUUGUAAUAUGAGGUUUUGUAAGAAAUAGAGAAGUAACUGCAUUGUGUAUGAGCAUAGUGAAAAAUAUAAAUUAGAAUUUAUGUUAGAAUGCAGUAGCUUUGAGUUUUCAGGUACUUUAUAUGUCAUUCCAAUUGAAUUAAUGGAAUGUGCUGCUAUUAUCACAUUCAAGAAAAUAUGGGGGGUAUUUAAUUGAGCUGGAAACAG